GAUGAACGCUGGCGGCGUGCCUAAUACAUGCAAGUCGAGCGAACGGACGAGAAGCUUGCUUCUCUGAUGUUAGCGGCGGACGGGUGAGUAACACGUGGAUAACCUACCUAUAAGACUGGGAUAACUUCGGGAAACCGGAGCUAAUACCGGAUAAUAUUUUGAACCGCAUGGUUCAAAAGUGAAAGACGGUCUUGCUGUCACUUAUAGAUGGAUCCGCGCUGCAUUAGCUAGUUGGUAAGGUAACGGCUUACCAAGGCAACGAUGCAUAGCCGACCUGAGAGGGUGAUCGGCCACACUGGAACUGAGACACGGUCCAGACUCCUACGGGAGGCAGCAGUAGGGAAUCUUCCGCAAUGGGCGAAAGCCUGACGGAGCAACGCCGCGUGAGUGAUGAAGGUCUUCGGAUCGUAAAACUCUGUUAUUAGGGAAGAACAUAUGUGUAAGUAACUGUGCACAUCUUGACGGUACCUAAUCAGAAAGCCACGGCUAACUACGUGCCAGCAGCCGCGGUAAUACGUAGGUGGCAAGCGUUAUCCGGAAUUAUUGGGCGUAAAGCGCGCGUAGGCGGUUUUUUAAGUCUGAUGUGAAAGCCCACGGCUCAACCGUGGGGGGUCAUUGGAAACUGGAAAACUUGAGUGCAGAAGAGGAAAGUGGAAUUCCAUGUGUAGCGGUGAAAUGCGCAGAGAUAUGGAGGAACACCAGUGGCGAAGGCGACUUUCUGGUCUGUAACUGACGCUGAUGUGCGAAAGCGUGGGGAUCAAACAGGAUUAGAUACCCUGGUAGUCCACGCCGUAAACGAUGAGUGCUAAGUGUUAGGGGGUUUCCGCCCCUUAGUGCUGCAGCUAACGCAUUAAGCACUCCGCCUGGGGAGUACGACCGCAAGGUUGAAACUCAAAGGAAUUGACGGGGACCCGCACAAGCGGUGGAGCAUGUGGUUUAAUUCGAAGCAACGCGAAGAACCUUACCAAAUCUUGACAUCCUUUGACAACUCUAGAGAUAGAGCCUUCCCCUUCGGGGGACAAAGUGACAGGUGGUGCAUGGUUGUCGUCAGCUCGUGUCGUGAGAUGUUGGGUUAAGUCCCGCAACGAGCGCAACCCUUAAGCUUAGUUGCCAUCAUUAAGUUGGGCACUCUAAGUUGACUGCCGGUGACAAACCGGAGGAAGGUGGGGAUGACGUCAAAUCAUCAUGCCCCUUAUGAUUUGGGCUACACACGUGCUACAAUGGACAAUACAAAGGGCAGCGAAACCGCGAGGUCAAGCAAAUCCCAUAAAGUUGUUCUCAGUUCGGAUUGUAGUCUGCAACUCGACUACAUGAAGCUGGAAUCGCUAGUAAUCGUAGAUCAGCAUGCUACGGUGAAUACGUUCCCGGGUCU
RNAcentral lists this ribosomal RNA (1372 nucleotides) under uncultured bacterium. RNAcentral describes it as "bacterial SSU rRNA". It matches the Rfam family "Bacterial small subunit ribosomal RNA", at positions 28 to 1381 of the family's 1533-position model. The record is from RNAcentral.